CUGGCUUAUGGCUUAUGGUGAGCCACUUGUACUCAGAUCCAACUUACGUUACCAAGUCUAAGGUUAAGUGAAUUAAUCAAACAAUCCGUAUACAAUGAUAUAAAUCGUACCACCCAAAUCGUACCAAUUCCAGUAACUAAAUCCAUCCCACCAAUCAGCACUGGUCAACAUACGACUAGACCAUACCACCCGUACCUAAGCGUAUGACUUAUUCCCC
Molecule: long non-coding RNA, 217 nt
Filed under: Capsicum annuum
Lineage: Eukaryota; Viridiplantae; Streptophyta; Magnoliopsida; Solanales; Solanaceae
Description: long non-coding RNA (CANN_LNC005160)
Source: RNAcentral